Molecule: long non-coding RNA, 421 nt
Filed under: Vigna radiata
Lineage: Eukaryota; Viridiplantae; Streptophyta; Magnoliopsida; Fabales; Fabaceae
Description: long non-coding RNA (VRAD_LNC004895)
Source: RNAcentral
UGUGACACCCGGGCACUGACGAGGGCGGGGAGUGAUCGCCGGUGCAAGAAGCAUGGUGCAGGGGGCACGGACAAGGAGCGGCUCCUGGCAGGCUUCGAGUGGAAGGGGCACAUGGACGAAUCGAACAUACACCGGAAUGAGAGGGAUNUGGAGACUGUAUAGGUAUGGGACUAUACAAUUGAAGGAUAGCUUAAAGGAAUUGAUUUGGCUACCCAUAUCACCAAAAAUGCAUUUACUUUUCGGAAGCCUAACCCAUAAGAACUCCAUGGUUAAGCGUGCUUAGCCUGGAGAAAUUCUGGGAUGGGUGACCUUCCGGGAAGUUUUCCCGGAAAGUGUGCGAGUGAGGACAAAACACACUGGAAAGUCUCGUGGUGAUGUGUGGGGGCAGUCAACAGUCCCUGUAAGUUGCCGGGGCGUUACA